UAGGGAAUCUUCGGCAAUGGGGGCAACCCUGACCGAGCAACGCCGCGUGAGUGAAGAAGGUUUUCGGAUCGUAAAGCUCUGUUGUAAGAGAAGAACGUGUGUGAGAGUGGAAAGUUCACACAGUGACGGUAACUUACCAGAAAGGGACGGCUAACUACGUGCCAGCAGCCGCGGUAAUACGUAGGUCCCGAGCGUUGUCCGGAUUUAUUGGGCGUAAAGCGAGCGCAGGCGGUUUAAUAAGUCUGAAGUUAAAGGCAGUGGCUUAACCAUUGUUCGCUUUGGAAACUGGUAAACUUGAGUGCAGAAGGGGAGAGUGGAGUUCCAUGUGUGGCGGUGAAAUGCGUAGAUAUAUGGAGGAACACCGGUGGCGAAAGCGGCUCUCUGGUCUGUAACUGACGCUGAGGCUCGAAAGCGUGGGGAGCAAACAGG
RNAcentral lists this ribosomal RNA (429 nucleotides) under bacterium. Its description in RNAcentral is "partial 16S ribosomal RNA". It matches the Rfam family "Bacterial small subunit ribosomal RNA", at positions 355 to 776 of the family's 1533-position model. The record is from RNAcentral.